ACGGGACUCAGGCCUCAACCUCUACUUCUGGGUAUAUAAGGCACACUGGUUGCCUCUUGAUCCCAAAGGUCUGGCCACAUAGCCCUCUCUGUACAGUUACUGUCUCUUUGUACAUGCAGGCCUAUAGAAACAGCUUCCCCACUGCUAGUUUAGGGUGCUGCUCUGAUGUCCCGAAUCCUCUGCCCAACUUUCUUAAACACCGACUCCAUCUUUAUCAAAUUCUCCUUAAACCACCUGUCUAAGAGCACUCUCUGGGAGGACCUGACAGGUGCACUCCGGGGGCACCAUGGAAGGACAUUACUCCCCAGUGACAAGCCAGUAGAAGCCAGGGAUCUCUUGCUGUGCAGGCUUAGGCCCAACUGGAAAUCCAGGAUCUGCCAACCAACCCCCAGUGCCACGAGUCUGAGACACAUCAAGGUACUCCUGGCCUUGGACACUAGUGUCCGCCUUCACUAGGAGGGCCAGCUCCACGUAUGGCUCAUCUGCCGCCCAAAGGGAUGUGGUACAGAUCCUCUGCAUACGGGUAGAAUGGCCCCUUUGUCAGCCUCCUCUGUGAACCCAGUUAUUUUUAAGCAUAAAGUUCUUCUAUGGUCAGAGUGGGUAGUUUUCUACUUAACCCGGCUUAGCAGAAUG
Molecule: long non-coding RNA, 633 nt
Organism: Mastomys coucha (southern multimammate mouse)
Lineage: Eukaryota; Metazoa; Chordata; Mammalia; Rodentia; Muridae
Exons: 3
Source: RefSeq, a predicted model, not a curated record